CAGACCUAGUUUCUCGGCCGCGGGCCCAGCGCCGGGAGCUGGUCCGGGAGGGAGAACGCGCGCCCCGGCCCGGGUUCACUGGCCCCAGCGUGUCGGGGGACUCCACGGUGCGGAAAAGCCCGGGGGUCAGGGGACAGUUGGGCUCGCGGGGACCACAGCACUGGCACCUCCCUGACUCAGAGGACGCCCAGUCAGGUGGGCCCGGAGCACCGGGGGCUCCCGAAGUGGGGCCUGAUGGUGCCCAGGAGCGCUGACCUCAGGAGGCCUGAGUCCGUUUGUCAUUGCCCGGAUAGAAUAUACGCUCUUUCUUUUCACAAAGCCCUCACAGGAAACCUUGUUUAACUCUCCCUCUAACUGCCACCUUUUUACUUUGUUGUGGAAACAAAGAUAUGAAUGUUUAGUGCAAAGCACAAACAUCAUGCCGUUAAUACACUUCCAGACAGAAUCAUUACAAGAAAAUGAUCUCAGUGUUCAUGAUUUUAGCUGUUGUUAUUUAGGGAAUAUGAUUAAUUUGGUUUAAAAGAAUACUAAUGAUCUUGUGAAUUUGAAGACAGUGUCAAAGCCCUGGAUUUAUUAUACUGAAAUUAUUAGAUGGACUUUUACUGUUUUUAUAAUAAUAUUAUUUUGCUAGAGGUAGACGUAAAAAGUUGAACACAAGCAAGUUAACCCAAGCUGUUAAAUUUAAAAAAAGUUUAAAUUUGCAUGAAUCAUCUUUAGAACUAUAUUUAAGAAUCGAUGUUUAGUACUAAUAAUCUAUAAUUUAGUAACUUGAAUCUUACGUGUCUUCCAUACUUGCAGGUAUGAUAAAGAAGAGUCGUAUCAGCUGAGCAGUCGUGAUUGUGAUUACGUCCCUGGUUGACUCAUGAAUAGGCUUUGUAAUGGUAGAUUGUUCUUUUGGACACACAGCCAAAAUGCUAAAGUUCACUGGGAGGUCUGCUAAGGUUUCUUACAUCAAAGAGUUGACAGAGAAAGGACUUACUAAAUGAAAAUAUUAUUUAGUAGUUUCUAGUAAACCUCAAAAAUCAUUCCAAAUUGGAACAUACACUAUGUUUACAUGUUUAAGUUAAACUGAGUCAUGAAGCUAACCGCUGACUUAUGUAUGCUUUCAGUAGUGUUGCCUAAAUGUUCUCAUUUAAAAGAAGUCCCCAUAGGAUUAUGAGAUGUGCAUAUAGUACGAUGUCAUUUUUCUUGGGAAACUUUCAGCUUACUUAUGCAAUAAGGAAAUUUAAGGUUAUUUGAGUACAUCUGGAAUAAUAGCUUUAGAUUUUUGAAAUUUGUCUUUUUGGGGUAGCUUUUCCCUUUUUCCUUGACAAAAUAUAACACAACGAUCCUAUUUCCUAUCUGAGCUUAGUUCAAGUUGUUAUGGUGGCAAAGUUAUGGGUUAUGAAAUGCACAAAAAUGUUGGUACAGAUAUACUUAGUGGCCCACUUAAGAAAAUAAAAUUGGAGAUUAAGAAUAGAGGGAAGGUUGUGGCUCCUUGGUAUUAUGUUAGGAGAGCAGAAUCCAUUAUAGUACACUCUUACAGUUAAACAAUUUGGGGACAAACAAGGUUAUGUGAGUGACAAAGUUUCAUAAAACUAGAAAGCACUAUGUUAAUGCAAGAUUACUUUCUAAAAAUAUUGAUUCUCAUUCCCUUUUUUCCUUCACAAUAAAAUUGUAUGGAACGUUUGUGUGGUAGAACAAGGAGAACUUCUAAAGUGCAUGUUAGUUUCAUCCUUUGAGGCCACAUAUUGGGUCUCCUGCAUUCUAUCUGUUUACUCUCUAUAAGAUUUAAAACAGAGAGAGUAAAUAGACAGAAGGCAGAGGACCCAACUAUGUGGCCUCAAAAGAUGUGGCCGCAAAGGUACUAUGAAAGUAUUUAGUAGUAGUAUUAUAGGGACCAGUUACUCCAGAUUUGUAUGAACAAUAAUCCCCAGUUUUGAUGCAGCAUCAUGUUGGAGGUGCUAAGUAGGAUCCUUAGACUUAUUAGUUGAAUCUCAUAAUCACCAGGAGAUUAACAUACUAUUUUAUGAAAAAUGGAGUGUGAAAAGUCCUUAUGGACUGCAUAGAUUCUGAAUUUUUAUAACAUUAAUCCAAACCCAGUACCUUGUCUGUAAUUAUAGUCUAAGCAUAUGUGAUUUGAUUAACACAUGAAUUACAAAUAUAUCUACUUUUGGGCAUAUAUUCCACCUUUUGUACUGCAGAAAAAUUUUGUGCCUUUGCAGUGACCAAAACUAUAGUUCUGUUUAGGGUCAGUAGGAGAAGAUGUUUUUCCUCUUAACUGAGAAGUUUAUGUUUCUUGGAGGAAAAUCCUAGAAUAAAUGCAAUCUUCCAUUGUAUCUUGGAAUUACAAUUUGAAAUAUCUUAAACAGUAUUUUUUGAAAGAAUUGGUUGUCUACUGUAUGCCUUUUCCAAUGAACUACAUAAAUAAAGGCAGAGUUUGUCUUUUCCUCUCUGAAUGCCUAAUGCCUAGAACGGUGCCUGACCCGGAGUAGUUGCUCAGAGCACGGGUGCUGAAUGAGGAAAUAAAGAUGAUACUGCUAUCUCUCAUAUUUCAGAUGCUAUUUUGUAGUCUUCGGUCAUAAUUUUAGAAUUCUCUUUUUGGUAAGAGGUUUAAAAAAGUGAGAUAUUAUUUGAUUUUUAAUGAAAUGUAAACAUAUAGCAGAUGCACAAUAAACAUUUAUUAAAUUAAAAAACCACUGAAAGAAACAUGAUACUGCAAUCCUGGUGCUUUAUUUACUAUUCUAAUCAUCUGCAGUCCUCCUUUUGCAUCUAAUGAGAGUCAUUUUUUAAAAAGCUCAUUGACCUAUUGAUUUAUAAAAGAAGACAUUUAGCAAAGCUGAAGAGAGGCCCACUUGAAUUUGAAUCAUUUUAACUAGCACUUAACCCUCGGCCUUUACCUAGCGGUUUGAGAUCCAAAGAUUCUUUGAGUUCUUAAACCUAUUUCAUAUUUGAUUAUUUAUUGCCUAACAGGAUCUUUGAUGCUACAUUUGAGCCUUUCUGGACAUCGGGAUUAUGGAUUAAAAGCCGUUGCUGUACCUCCUGCCUGUAGGUUGAUGAUCCUGGAGAAGAGAGAAUUAGUGAUAAAACCAACAGUACAUCACAUACGAAACUAUUGGCGAAUUUACCUGAGACAUUGAGGCUCAAGAUUAUGAGAAUGUGUGAUAGGACCAAAAGCAUAUUUCCAGGAUCAGAGAUGGCUGCGGUGGUGGUAGGAGAAGAUUAUUGAUGAGAGGCCUGGGAGAGGAGGAUGCUAUGUUCCUGCAGACACUUACACAACAGCUAAAUGUUGUUUUCAGCCUUACACUUUGAGCUGCACUCUCGUAGAGUUUACAAAGAUAAAUGAUCUAUUCUUGCCUCAUUGUUUCUGCCUGGUUCAUUCUCUUGGGAUUUGCUUUUAAAAUAAAUUAUUUGCAACUAAGAUUAUGUGUACACAUACAAUUGGUUUCAUUUACUAAUUCACUUGUUCAAGUAUUGUUGACUAUUGCGUGUGGGCCUGAGCAUGCAAUAAAGAGCAGGCAUGUGUCCCCAAGGAGCUAAUGGUCUAGAAGUGAAGGCUGCAGUCUGUAAAAAAACUGCAAUACAUUAUGAAAGGGCUGUAAGAGAAGGAUGCACAAAGCUUAGCUGUGACAUGAAAGCAAUGCAGCAGCUUUACUUGAGAGGCUUGACAGAGGACUAAGUGCUUGAGCUGCCUCUUGCAGGAUGGGUGGGAAUUUGCCUGGUUGACAGCAUGGGAAAGGGCAUUCCAGGAAGAUAAAGCCUUAGCAAAAAAGGAUCCAGAGACCUGGAAAUAGAGAGAUGCAUUUGUGAGCAGUAAAUCUUCACAUGGCAGGAUUACAAAGUGGGAGGAGGAGUAGAGUCACAAAGGAAGGAUCUGGAGAGCUUGGCCACGACCAGGUCAAGGAGGGUAUGCCAUGCUGCUAUGUUUGAACUCUGUCCUGCAGGCAAGACAGGGGACAUAUUCCGAUUAGCAUUUUACAAAUAUCUCUCAGGCAGCCUCACAAGAAUGAUACAGAGGAAGCCAAGCCCGGAUUUGGGAGACAUGGUGUGCAGACAAUUACAGUAAUAUUCAAGCGAAAAAACAAUGAAAGCCUGAAUUAAUGCUGCGAUAUUUAGAAUAGUGAGCACAGGAUGGACUGUCAAACUUAGCACACAGUACUUAGUGGCUGAGUCAGUGUGAAGGGUGAGGGAAAUUGAAGGCAAUUCCCAGGACUGCAGCUUGGGUGACAAAGUGGGUAGUGAUGAUAUUGCUCAGGAUAAGGAAGAUGAGCAGGCCUUUGAGAAAAGUAGUGACCUACAUUUCAUUUUUUAAUUUUAAUUUUAAUUCAUUUAUUUAU
This 4316-nucleotide long non-coding RNA is filed under the name Homo sapiens (human). RNAcentral's name for it is "HSALNT0337513". Lineage: Eukaryota; Metazoa; Chordata; Mammalia; Primates; Hominidae. The record is from RNAcentral.